RNAcentral lists this transfer RNA (70 nucleotides) under Loxodonta africana (African savanna elephant). It matches the Rfam family "tRNA". From Rfam's summary of the family: Transfer RNA (tRNA) molecules are approximately 80 nucleotides in length. The record is from Rfam by way of RNAcentral. Lineage: Eukaryota; Metazoa; Chordata; Mammalia; Proboscidea; Elephantidae.
GCAUUGGUGGUUCAGUGGCAGAAUUCUUACCUUCCAUGCUGGAGAUCCAGGUUCGACUCUGGCCAAUGCA